AGAACGAACGCUGGCGGCAUGCCUAACACAUGCAAGUCGAACGCGUGUAGCGAUACACGAGUGGCGGACGGGUGAGUAACGCGUGGGAACCUGCCCUGGAGUGUGGGAUAACCGAGGGAAACUUCGGCUAAUACCGCAUACGACCUGAGGGUGAAAGAUUUAUCGCUCUAGGAGGGGCCCGCGUCGGAUUAGCUAGUUGGUGGGGUAAAGGCCUACCAAGGCAGUGAUCCGUAGCUGGUCUGAGAGGAUGAUCAGCCACACUGGGACUGAGACACGGCCCAGACUCCUACGGGAGGCAGCAGUGGGGAAUAUUGGACAAUGGGGGCAACCCUGAUCCAGCAAUGCCGCGUGAGUGAUGAAGGCCUUAGGGUUGUAAAAGCUCUUUCGCCCGCGACGAUGAUGACGGUAGCGGGAGAAGAAGCCCGGCUAACUUCGUGCCAGCAGCCGC
This 448-nucleotide ribosomal RNA is filed under the name uncultured bacterium. Its description in RNAcentral is "SSU rRNA". It matches the Rfam family "Bacterial small subunit ribosomal RNA", at positions 26 to 518 of the family's 1533-position model. The record is from RNAcentral.